Molecule: ribosomal RNA, 852 nt
Filed under: Triticum aestivum (bread wheat)
Lineage: Eukaryota; Viridiplantae; Streptophyta; Magnoliopsida; Poales; Poaceae
Description: partial small subunit ribosomal RNA
Source: RNAcentral
AUGGGCCUCGCCUUGUGGACUCGUUCAGACAAUGGGCCGUGUGGUCUGGCCCAAAAUACUGCGCCUCACAUGCCGCAAGAUCUCACGGAGCCAAACCACACCCGCACCAGAGUCGUCCCCACCACGCACGGGAAAACCUCGCAGGCAACCGGCCUCCUCCUCCACCGCCGCCGCCGCCGCCGCCGUCGAAGCAUCAGAAGCAGCAAGAGUAAGAUGUCGUUCCGGGCGCGGGAGAUUUACAAGAAGGUGGUGCGCCGCGUGGGCGGGGAGGGGAAGCUGCCGGCGGAGGUGAUGGACACAGUGAAGAACAUACUCCCGAAUAGCAAGGUCGUCAUGGGCCGGGCCAAGCGCGGCAUCUUCGCCGGCCGCCACAUCCAGUUCGGCAACAAGGUCUCCGAGGACGGCGGCAACAAGUCAAGGCGAAACUGGAAGCCAAACGUUCAGGAGAAACGUCUUUUCAGUUAUAUUCAUGACCGACACAUUAGAGUCAAAGUAACCACUCAUGCACUACGGUGCAUUGACAAAGCUGGUGGGAUCGAUGAAUACCUCCUGAAGACACCUUACAACAAAAUGGAUACUGAGAUGGGAAUAGCCUGGAAGGCAAAGAUUGAGAAGAUGUAUUCAGAGCUAGCUGGGAUGGAAGUUGGCUUCUUCCCUCCUGAGAAAGAGGCUAAGAUAGAGCAGGGUUUCGAGGAGAUUCGAUCGGCCAAGAGAGAGUUCCGCAGCGAAUCAAGAAGGGCUUUGGGUGUGGCAAAGCAGAGUCAGCUAGAAGCAACUAAAGCUGAUGAUGACGAAACAACUGAAGUCGUGGAUACAAAUGAAGAGGCGUCUGAUGUCGCAGAGAAGUCUUAG